AUAGUGGUCUGGGGUGUCUUCGGACUGAGAAUUUCACGACCGUGAAAUAACCCUUUGAACCUGAUCCGGUUGAUACCGGCGUAGGGAACGGACCGAGCAAUUGCAA
Molecule: non-coding RNA, 106 nt
Filed under: Desulfococcus multivorans
Lineage: Bacteria; Pseudomonadati; Thermodesulfobacteriota; Desulfobacteria; Desulfobacterales; Desulfococcaceae
Also listed under: 1 other name
Description: TPP sequence
Rfam family: TPP riboswitch aptamer (THI element)
About the family: Vitamin B(1) in its active form thiamin pyrophosphate (TPP) is an essential coenzyme that is synthesised by coupling of pyrimidine and thiazole moieties in bacteria. The previously detected thiamin-regulatory element, thi box was extended, resulting in a new, highly conserved RNA secondary structure, the THI element, which is widely distributed in eubacteria and also occurs in some archaea. Analysis of operon structures identified a large number of new candidate thiamin-regulated genes, mostly transporters, in various prokaryotic organisms.
Source: RNAcentral